RNAcentral lists this ribosomal RNA (255 nucleotides) under uncultured bacterium. RNAcentral describes it as "partial 16S ribosomal RNA". It matches the Rfam family "Bacterial small subunit ribosomal RNA", at positions 524 to 776 of the family's 1533-position model. The record is from RNAcentral.
UACGUAGGGUGCGAGCGUUUAAUCGGAAUUACUGGGCGUAAAGCGUGCGUAGGCGGUUCGUUAAGUUCGUUGUGAAAGCCCCGGGCUCAACCUGGGAACUGCAAUGGAAACUGGCGGGCUUGAGUGUGGCAGAGGGGGGUGGAAUUCCGCGUGUAGCAGUGAAAUGCGUAGAGAUGCGGAGGAACACCGAUGGCGAAGGCAGCCCCCCUGGGCCAACACUGACGCUCAGGCACGAAAGCGUGGGGAGCAAACAGG